GGUCUACAUUGUAUAUAAAAAAUAGAGAUUGUCCAUUUUGUUUUAUAUAUAUAUUAUAAUUAAAAAUGACUAAAAAUUUUAAUUUAGAGGGAUUUUUAUUAGCCUUUAUCAUUAUAAUUAAUAUUUUUUUAAUUCAUGGAGCCAUGGGAUGCUAUCAAUAUGAUCCUCAGAAUAAUAUAAUGAAUGAACAGCUCGUAUAUUUAAGAAGAACUAAUUUGGAAAUGUUCUGCUCCAAUAAAUGCAUUCUAAAUCAAUAUGUAUGUUGCAUAUGUCCAGUUACUAAUCAAGUCGGAUAGCGUCGAUUGGCAAGUUAUCAACCUCCUUAACUCGUUCAAUAUCAGCAUUCUUUAUAUUCAAAUAUUUUUAAAAAGAAAUAUCUAUUGCAAAAAUUAUACUUAUUAUUCGUGAUUGAAAGAUGAUAUUGGGAACACACCGCUCCUAAAAAUUUAUUAAUUAAAUUUUACUAUAUUUGUUAUAAUCAUUUUGUAUCAAAUGUUAUUAUAUUGUAAUAUUUUUAUAAAAUAAAAUACACACAUUUAUUUUAAAAGUGAUUGAAAGAUGGUAUUGGGAACACACCGCUCCUAAAAAUUUAUUAAUUAAAUUUUACUAUAUUUGUUAUAUUCAUUUUGCAUCAAAUGUUAUUAUUAUAUUGUAAUAUUUUUAUAAAAUAAAAUAAUACACACAUUUAUUUUAAAAAUUUAAUACGGGCAUUCUUUAUAAUAACGGAUGUUGGACUAAAAAAAUUUUUUUU
Molecule: long non-coding RNA, 751 nt
Organism: Gordionus sp. m RMFG-2023
Lineage: Eukaryota; Metazoa; Nematomorpha; Gordioida; Chordodea; Parachordodidae
Exons: 4
Source: RefSeq, a predicted model, not a curated record